This is a long non-coding RNA of Papaver somniferum (opium poppy), 323 nucleotides long. RefSeq lists it as uncharacterized. The transcript has 2 exons. The record is from RefSeq and is a predicted model, not a curated record. NCBI's taxonomy places the organism in Eukaryota, Viridiplantae, Streptophyta, Magnoliopsida, Ranunculales, Papaveraceae.
UUCCGAUCAGUGCAACUACUAACAUUGCGGUCUAAUGAUGGAGUAUGCUAGUCAGUGCAACUAUUAACAACUCCUGAACAACUUUUAGGACCUUUAGAUCACCUUUAUAAACCCAGGGUGCAGCUUUACAGACCUCAGACUAAUUGAUUUUGUGGCCUGGGAAUGGACUGCUGGCGUGGAUUUAGCACAAAAUAGGUGUAAUUUGAAGUAUCAAUUCUAUUAGAGUUUGAGAUUGUGUAGAUUUAGUUUAUAAUUUUUUAUUAUUGUGUAAAUCACUGUACUCUGAAACAUAUUUAUAUUUAUGAAAUUUGAAAUCUUUGUUC